CCUACGGGUGACAGCAGUGAGGAAUAUUGGUCAAUGGACGCAAGUCUGAACCAGCCAUGCCGCGUGCAGGAAGACGGCUCUAUGAGUUGUAAACUGCUUUUGUACGAGGGUAAACGCAGAUACGCGUAUCUGUCUGAAAGUAUCGUACGAAUAAGGAUCGGCUAACUCCGUGCCAGCAGCCGCGGUAAUACGGAGGAUUCAAGCGUUAUCCGGAUUUAUUGGGUUUAAAGGGUGCGUAGGCGGUCGGAUAAGUUAGAGGUGAAAUCCCGAGGCUCAACUUCGGAAUUGCCUCUGAUACUGUUCGGCUAGAGAGUAGUUGCGGUAGGCGGAAUGUAUGGUGUAGCGGUGAAAUGCUUAGAGAUCAUACAGAACACCGAUUGCGAAGGCAGCUUACCAAGCUACUUCUGACGUUGAGGCACGAAAGCGUGGGGAGCGAACAGGAUUAGAUACCCCGGUAGUC
RNAcentral lists this ribosomal RNA (460 nucleotides) under uncultured bacterium. Its description in RNAcentral is "partial 16S ribosomal RNA". It matches the Rfam family "Bacterial small subunit ribosomal RNA", at positions 338 to 795 of the family's 1533-position model. The record is from RNAcentral.